Molecule: ribosomal RNA, 370 nt
Filed under: uncultured organism
Description: bacterial SSU rRNA
Rfam family: Bacterial small subunit ribosomal RNA
Source: RNAcentral
CGUAGGGUGCGAGCGUUAAUCGGAAUUACUGGGCGUAAAGCGUGCGCAGGCGGUUAUAUAAGACAGAUGUGAAAUCCCCGGGCUCAACCUGGGAACUGCAUUUGUGACUGUAUAGCUAGAGUACGGCAGAGGGGGAUGGAAUUCCGCGUGUAGCAGUGGAAUGCGUAGAUAUGCGGAGGAACACCGAUGGCGAAGGCAAUCCCCUGGGCCUGUACUGACGCUCAUGCACGAAAGCGUGGGGAGCAAACAGGAUUAGAUACCCUGGUAGUCCACGCCCUAAACGAUGUCAACUGGUUGUUGGGUCUUCACUGACUCAGUAACGAAGCUAACGCGUGAAGUUGACCGCCUGGGGAGUACGGCCGCAAGGUUG